Molecule: long non-coding RNA, 1137 nt
Filed under: Mus musculus (house mouse)
Lineage: Eukaryota; Metazoa; Chordata; Mammalia; Rodentia; Muridae
Description: long non-coding RNA chr6:125228667-125229804
Source: RNAcentral
AAAUACUGUUAAGUCCUGUGUGCACUGGACCCUUGUUACUGUGAGUAGAGCACUCCCCAGCCUUGAUAGGCUUUUGGGAUCCUUGGUUAUUGUGAAGCAGAGUGGCCUUGACUUUCAGCUAUCAGCCCUAACUGCACAUGGGAGCAUUUGGGGGUGAAGUGUUGUGGUCCCUACAGCCUAGUCAGUCCAGGGGAGGAUAUCUAUGUUAGUCGGGUAGAGAGGAACUAUGACAGCUGACGAAAUAGGUCAGAAAUAAGUCACGGCUGGGUGGGGGUAUGUUGUUUCAUUUAUUUGUAGAUCUGAAUAAGUUCAAAAAGGGAGAAGCACUAAACUACCCAUGGCCAAGGAUAGGAGAUGCUGAACAUCUUUUCUGAUGUGGCAAGGCACAUUCAGAAAGGACUGUAGAGCCGGAGGGUGUGGUAGUAUAUGCCUGUACCAUCAGCUACUAAGGAGGCAUGACAGAAUCACAAGUUUCCAGGCCUGCCAGGGCAUCUGGGUGAGACCCCUGUUUCACAAUAAAACUGAAAAAGGAAUUGAAGCUGUAGUUUAGUAGUAGAGCUCGUGUUUAGCACAAGGCUCUAGGUUCUAUCCUCAGUAUGGGACAACAUAAUACUAAAGGCUAAUGUUUUAGGGGUUUGCAGGGAUAGGAGAGGGGCCCCCUCAUCGUCAUCUUCUGUGGACUUGAUUUUCUCCUUUUUGGAGGCAAAAUAAUGAACUGGACUCUCCAGGUGCCUGUCAAUAUGUUUCCUCUUGGUUUUGAACCUGGUAGGAGGUACUAAGUGGGAGAGAAUGAGGAAUGGGCUCACUAGUAAGAGCUACUGAGCACUUCUUUCUCCCUGUGCUCUGCUGUAAUUGCCAUGAAGCACCAGACCAGACUCCCUCUCCCUGGGAGGAAACAUGAGUUUGGCUAAAUAAGAGUGUAGUGACAUGUGUAGCUACAGUGUCCUCAUGUGUUGCUUCCCCACUUUGGAGAAAAUACCUGAUGAUUAUUAUGUUUUGAUGCUUGCUCGAAUAAGGAUCUCCUAGCAUCCCCUCUUCUUGACUCAGGAUAUUUUAGAAAGAAAAGAUGAAGCUCUAUGGGUACCUCAGGAGGACCUGUGGGAUAUUUGUUUUCUUCCUUCUAUCCCAUCUCUAACC